Molecule: ribosomal RNA, 519 nt
Filed under: Salmonella enterica
Lineage: Bacteria; Pseudomonadati; Pseudomonadota; Gammaproteobacteria; Enterobacterales; Enterobacteriaceae
Also listed under: 4 other names
Description: partial 23S ribosomal RNA
Rfam family: Bacterial large subunit ribosomal RNA
Source: RNAcentral
AGACCCGAAACCCGGUGAUCUAGCCAUGGGCAGGUUGAAGGUUGGGUAACACUAACUGGAGGACCGAACCGACUAAUGUUGAAAAAUUAGCGGAUGACCUGUGGCUGGGGGUGAAAGGCCAAUCAAACCGGGAGAUAGCUGGUUCUCCCCGAAAGCUAUUUAGGUAGCGCCUCGUGAAUUCAUCUCCGGGGGUAGAGCACUGUUUCGGCUAGGGGGCCAUCCCGGCUUACCAACCCGAUGCAAACUGCGAAUACCGGAGAAUGUUAUCACGGGAGACACACGGCGGGUGCUAACGUCCGUCGUGAAGAGGGAAACAACCCAGACCGCCAGCUAAGGUCCCAAAGUCAUGGUUAAGUGGGAAACGAUGUGGGAAGGCCCAGACAGCCAGGAUGUUGGCUUAGAAGCAGCCAUCAUUUAAAGAAAGCGUAAUAGCUCACUGGUCGAGUCGGCCUGCGCGGAAGAUGUAACGGGGCUAAACCAUGCACCGAAGCUGCGGCAGCGACACUGUGUGUUGUUGGG